Molecule: ribosomal RNA, 394 nt
Filed under: Acinetobacter baumannii
Lineage: Bacteria; Pseudomonadati; Pseudomonadota; Gammaproteobacteria; Moraxellales; Moraxellaceae
Description: bacterial SSU rRNA
Rfam family: Bacterial small subunit ribosomal RNA
Source: RNAcentral
UGAUCCUGGCUCAGAUUGAACGCUGGCGGCAGGCUUAACACAUGCAAGUCGAGCGGGGGAAGGUAGCUUGCUACCGGACCUAGCGGCGGACGGGUGAGUAAUGCUUAGGAAUCUGCCUAUUAGUGGGGGACAACAUCUCGAAAGGGAUGCUAAUACCGCAUACGUCCUACGGGAGAAAGCAGGGGAUCUUCGGACCUUGCGCUAAUAGAUGAGCCUAAGUCGGAUUAGCUAGUUGGUGGGGUAAAGGCCUACCAAGGCGACGAUCUGUAGCGGGUCUGAGAGGAUGAUCCGCCACACUGGGACUGAGACACGGCCCAGACUCCUACGGGAGGCAGCRGUGGGGAAUAUUGGACAAUGGGGGGAACCCUGAUCCRGCCAUGCCGCGUGUGUGAAG